UACGUAGGGGGCAAGCGUUGUCCGGAUUUAUUGGGCGUAAAGAGCUCGUAGGCGGUUUGUCGCGUCGAAUGUGAAAACCCGGGGCUCAACCCCGGGCCUGCAUUCGAUACGGGCAGACUAGAGUUCGGUAGGGGAGUCUGGAAUUCCUGGUGUAGCGGUGAAAUGCGCAGAUAUCAGGAGGAACACCGGUGGCGAAGGCGGGACUCUGGGCCGAUACUGACGCUGAGGAGCGAAAGCGUGGGGAGCGAACAGG
RNAcentral lists this ribosomal RNA (253 nucleotides) under uncultured bacterium. Its description in RNAcentral is "partial 16S ribosomal RNA". It matches the Rfam family "Bacterial small subunit ribosomal RNA", at positions 524 to 776 of the family's 1533-position model. The record is from RNAcentral.